Molecule: long non-coding RNA, 584 nt
Organism: Pezoporus flaviventris
Lineage: Eukaryota; Metazoa; Chordata; Aves; Psittaciformes; Psittacidae
Exons: 4
Source: RefSeq, a predicted model, not a curated record
ACUGGGAGCUGCACCCAGGUUCUGGGGCUUUGCUGACCCUGGCUGAUGCUGCAACUUACGAUAUUCUCACAUCUCAUGGAUUUCCAGCCUUUUUAUUGCCCCUCAGGCAUUUUAUCUUGCAUCCCAGAAAUAUCAGUGGGUUGCUAUCUCUGCAGAGGAAGGGACUGAAAGAGAAGUGCUGCAGCUGCUGCAGUCCAUAGCAUCUGCCUGAUGUUACCAUUAGAGCUAAGACAUCAGAUAAGGCACCAAAGGUGGUGGGAUGCAGAUGAGAUCUUCAUGCUCAGGAGUGAUGAGACACUUCAGGAGGAAGGAUCUGAAGAACAGGAUUUCACAGAUGGUGGUGGUGGUUGUUGCUUUUAGUCUCCAGGACUAGCCUAACGGCUUUCCUAGGGGAUCUGCAUUAUCUUCUACCUUCUCCUGGAAACAGUUACAUUGUUUGGAGCCUCUACAGGACUGAAAGCAAGAGUCAUGAGGUACUACAACAUUAGAUGAAUCUGCCCCAUGCGUCAUUAACUCUUUGGAAUCCAAGCUCAUGUAUGUGAUCAACUACUGUUUAAGGGAAUAAUUACUUUGUUUUUGAAACU